UGAGUACGAGAUGCUACGGCAUCGAAGCAGUCUAUGUCAUACUUCCAAGAAAAGCUUGCAAUGUCAUAAACAAAUAAUGCCUGUACCAUAACCGACACAGGUGGGUAGGUAGAGUAUACUAAGGGGCGCGAGAUAACUCUCUCUAAGGAACUCGGCAAAAUGACUCCGUAACUUCGGGAGAAGGAGUGCCUUAUUUUUAUAAGGUUGCAAUAACAAGAUCCAAGCAACUGUUUACCAAAAACACAGGUCUCCGCUAAGUCGUAAGACGAUGUAUGGGGGCUGACGCCUGCCCAGUGCCAGAAGGUUAAAGAAGUUGGUUAGCAUUAGCGAAGCUGAUAACUGAAGCCCUGGUGAACGGCGGCCGUAACAAUAACGGUCCUAAGGUAGCGAAAUUCCUUGUCGGGUAAGUUCCGACCCGCACGAAAGGCGUAAUGAUUUGGAUACUGUCUCGGAGAGGGGCUCGGUGAAAUAGACUUGUCUGUGAAGAUGCGGACUACCUGCACCUGGACAGAAAGACCCUAUGAAGCUUUACUGUAACUUGAGAUUGAAAUUGGACUUUAUCUGCGCAGUAUAGGUGGGAGACGUUGAAAAUAUUCUUGCGGGAAUAUUGGAGUCAUCAGUGAGAUACCACUCUUAUAAUGUUAGAUUUCUAACUUUGUAUUAUUAUCUGGUCAAAGAACAGUUUCAGGCGGGCAGUUUGACUGGGGCGGUCGCCUCCCAAACGGUAACGGAGGCGCACAAAGGUUUCCUCUGAACGUGUAGAAAUCGUAUCUAGAGUGUAAAGGCAUAAGGAAGCUUGACUGUGAGACCUACAAGUCGAGCAGGGACGAAAGUCGGUCUUAGUGAUCUGACGGUGCUGAGUGGGAAGGCCGUCACUCAACGGAUAAAAGUUACUCUAGGGAUAACAGGCUGAUCUCCCCCAAGAGUUCACAUCGACGGGGAGGUUUGGCACCUCGAUGUCGGCUCAUCGCAUCCUGGGGCGGUAGUACGUCCCAAGGGUUGGGCUGUUCGCCCAUGAAAGCGGUACGCGAGCUGGGCUCAGAACGUCGUGAGACAGUUCGGUCCAUAUCCGGUGUAGGCGUUAGAAUAUUGAGAGGAGCCUUCUUUAGUACGAGAGGACCGAGAAGGACAUACCUCUGGUGUACCAGUUAUCGUCCAACGGUAAACGCUGGGUAGCCAUGUAUGGAGAGGAUAACCGCUGAAAGCAUCUAAGUGGGAAGCCCACCUCAAGAUAAG
RNAcentral lists this ribosomal RNA (1236 nucleotides) under metagenome. RNAcentral's name for it is "bacterial LSU rRNA". It matches the Rfam family "Bacterial large subunit ribosomal RNA", at positions 1564 to 2808 of the family's 2925-position model. The record is from RNAcentral.